CGAGGCGUAAUUGGGCUCAAUUCAACAAAGAGGAACCUGGGACCCGCGGUCCUUUGAAUAACAAGGAAUCUACGCGUUGGUUGGUCGGCAGAAUUCUGCAUGAGGGUCAAUCUUAAUCUAGAUCCAUCCACCGGUCACUCGGCUCCUUUUCCUGGUCUUUAGGCGGCUCUGGACUGCUUAAAAAUAAAGUACCGCCUUUGUUAAGGAUCAGCUUGUCCGCCCCCUUGCAACCCGGACCACUGCGCGGCGAGCACAAUGCGACCACGCUUGUUAUUUUCGCCACCAGGGCGCGCUCGCCGCGGAUCUGCCGUUGCGGUCCCUUUUAGGGCAAAGCAAAGGGCGCAAACUGCGACCUUUCACCCUUUGGCGUAAUAGGCACAUGACCCAUGAACGUCUAACCCGUCUUACCGGGAUUCCCGGCUAAAGGGCUAAAAUGGAGCCUUUUGGCAGCGCUCCGUGCGCAGCCGCCCCGUCAAUGGGGCCCGCACCCGUUUCACCUGGGCUCUGCCCACUUCCACCAAUUAAAAUUACAUCUUCUCUCGAGUUCAUUGUCUCAAGUUCUUCACCUUCUGCGUUCAUUGCCGCAAGUUCUACCAGCUCAUGUAAGUAUUCGGAGUCGCUAAGCAUUUCGGCACUCCUCUCCUUCAUUCGGCGCUACGUCUCAUACGGCGCCAAGACUUCUUCAACAGGGUUGCUACGUUGCCACGUUUUUCGGCACCCUCCCUCGGCGCCAGGCCUUGCGGCGCUUAGAUUUCUCCUCUACGGUGCUACGUUACAUACGGCACUAUGUUCUUUCUUCCGCGGGGUUGCCAGGUUUUCGGCGCUCUGCUUUCGGCGUCACGUUGAAUACGGCGCUAAAACACCUUCACAACAGGGUUGCCACGACUUUCGGCACCCUGCUUCGGCGUUAAGCUUUACGGCGCUAAGAACUCUUUUCUCAAGGGCGUUCCUCACUCUCACGCCCACUCUUUCUCUCUCCCCUUCUCUCUACUUCACAUUCUCUCAAUUUCUCCGUCAACCAACCACUCUUUCUCAUUCUACAUCUCUUCUUCUUUCUCUUCCAAAGUUAUUCUUGUUGCCUGCCUUUUAGGUGGUUGCCUGCGAGACUAUCCUCGGGAUGACUUCUUUUCUUCUUCUCUUUCCUAUCCCACUUUUCUAGAUGUUCUCUAACAUUAAACGUUCUUCUUUCUCUUCCUAAGUUAUUCUUGUUGCCCUGCCUUUUAGGUGGCUGCCUGCGAGACUAUCCUCGGGAUGACUUCUUUUCUUCUUCUCUUUCCUAUCCAACUUUUCUAGGUGUUCUCUAACAUUAAAUGGUCCCUCGGGCCGGAUUCACUGUGCAUCCGGUGAGAUUGUGACACUGGCACUAAGGUGUUACUUUCCAUUUUAACCUUCAUUCUCUUACAAAUCUUUCAAACAGAAUAAAUAAAGUAUUAUUCUCAGUCAACAAACCAGUCGACUUUUGCUACGUUUGGUCAUCGUUGUUUCCCCGGCAAUAUGGUGAAAACACGAAAAAACCGUCAACAAAGCUUCAGCGACGAGAAUACAAGGGAAACCCUUGUUAAUCAAAAUGCCCCUUCAAACAAGGAAAAGGCAGCUACUCUUGCAGCAAAACGGGCAGCGGUUGUCGACGAUGUCUAUUCACUUCUAGACGUCUUCGAAACGAAACUUUCCGUCGAUAAUUUCUAUCAAUUCGAGACCGUUUUUGAGCAUCUCACCGCGCAGAAAGCCAAGUUCGAAGAGAUCCAGGCAGAGAUCUUCGCAGUAAAUUCAGCCCUACCGGAAAACUCUCAAAUUGAGACGCAAUCCAGUCAACGUGAAUUUUUCAAGCUGUUUUAUCUCACUGAAACGACGUAUCUCUCUCAAAACCCAGACCAGUUGAAAGUCUGAACAGCU
RNAcentral lists this long non-coding RNA (1893 nucleotides) under Bemisia tabaci. Its description in RNAcentral is "lncRNA ENSSSA1UGG001490". The record is from RNAcentral. Lineage: Eukaryota; Metazoa; Arthropoda; Insecta; Hemiptera; Aleyrodidae.